This 228-nucleotide long non-coding RNA is filed under the name Phoenix dactylifera (date palm). RNAcentral's name for it is "long non-coding RNA (PDAC_LNC012694)". The record is from RNAcentral. Lineage: Eukaryota; Viridiplantae; Streptophyta; Magnoliopsida; Arecales; Arecaceae.
AGAUCUCCUUCUCCUCUACGCAAGAACCUCGAUUUCCAAAAAGAAAAAGGUAAAUAUCCAUCCCUAUCUAGUCUUUUGAUGACAUUAGGCUAUACAAAGGGUGGAUGUAGUCUAGAGGGGUCGGAUAAGGGUUGUAGAGGCGGUUAAAAGAGGAAGAAUCAGAUUUUGACAAAUUUUUCCGGUACUACGGAAAAACUGUGUCGAAGUUCCAACUUCGGCGAAUUAUUU